AUGCCGUUGCCAACAGGCAACCGACGCGCCUCUCCCUUCGUGUCCCUAUGUAUCAUCGCGUCCCUACGGGAUGUAUAUAUUGUAACAAACCCAAUCAAUGAGAACAGCGAUUCCACUACUUGUCAAUUGUCUCUCUUUUCUUUUAACAAGUUAUCAGCACGCGCUCCGGCGAGAGCAAUUCCGACGAGAAGACAUGGAGAACAGGGAAAAGGUGAGAAACGGAACCAUGCCUCGAGUUUCGAUGUCCCUGUUUCUCCGCCUCCUUUGCGUCCAUGGCCGUGGCCGCCGCUUCGAGCAUCGUGUGCGCGACCUCCGCCGCUUCCGGCGUGGAGGUUGGAACCAGCGCCGCCAGGACCUCCGUCGCAACCACCGGAACGGCGCGGGGCCGUCGAACCAGCCUGUGCAGCCCGAUGUGCCCGCCCGGCUUCUGGCCGGUCCGGCUGCACCAAGGCUCGAGGCCGAUGGGGGCAUCGACCCGGCGCUGGCGGCUCCGCCGCCGCCGUUCUGGUGCUCGGUGCAUGGCUGGGUAGUAUGCCCCCUGCACCAGUACGACUUUCCCGUCAUGAUCCGCCGCUGCAGCCUUCGACCCCAGCGGUUGUUGAAGCAGAAGCCGGCGUGCCGCUCCAGAGGUUGCCGACGGUCGCGCGUGUCCCGGGCGACGCCGCCGCGCCGCCGCGCCUGCCGUCCCCGACUCCGUCGAACGGCCACUCCGGCCGCUCCGGCUCACGGAGCCCCGCGGCACUCGGGCUCGCGAACGGCACCGCGUCCGGCCCCCUCGCCCUCGCGCGCUGCGCGCUGCGCCCGCCCGCGCCUUUGGCGCCGCUGCACCCGUCCGCGCUGCUUUAUGGCCUGCAUCUCACCAGUGAGGAUUCUCCACUGGUGACGCCCGCGAGAGCGACCACAUGGCGCUGCUCCCCACCCCGCGGAUUUGUCGGCGCGGUCCGCAGUGACCAACAUCGUGGUGUCCCUCCGGCGUGGCUCGAACCAUCCAAGCGGUGGUUCUGUGAAGCAAAUCGAUUGAUUUGUGCCCACGUAGGGAAUCACGAUGGAGAACCUUAUCUCUUCGUCUCUUUACACUAA
This 1080-nucleotide ribosomal RNA is filed under the name Triticum aestivum (bread wheat). RNAcentral describes it as "partial small subunit ribosomal RNA". Lineage: Eukaryota; Viridiplantae; Streptophyta; Magnoliopsida; Poales; Poaceae. The record is from RNAcentral.